CACUGGGACUGAGACACGGCCCAGACUCCUACGGGAGGCAGCAGUUUUGAAUUUUCCGCAAUGGACGAAAGUCUGACGGAGCAACGCCGCGUGUUUAAGAAGGCCUUCGGGUCGUAAAGUUCUGUUGUUAGGGAAGAACAAGUACCAGAG
RNAcentral lists this ribosomal RNA (150 nucleotides) under Peribacillus frigoritolerans. RNAcentral describes it as "[Brevibacterium] frigoritolerans partial 16S ribosomal RNA". It matches the Rfam family "Bacterial small subunit ribosomal RNA", at positions 311 to 461 of the family's 1533-position model. Lineage: Bacteria; Bacillati; Bacillota; Bacilli; Caryophanales; Bacillaceae. The record is from RNAcentral.